AUGCGGGUCCUGUGCAACGAAAUACCGUGAACCAUGUCAGGCGGGGAACCGAGCAGCAUUAAGCGGUUAUCUUUGUGUGCCGCAGUGUUUCCUGUAUGUC
This 100-nucleotide signal recognition particle RNA is filed under the name Paludihabitans sp. MB14-C6. Its description in RNAcentral is "Paludicola sp. MB14-C6 signal recognition particle sRNA small type". It matches the Rfam family "Bacterial small signal recognition particle RNA". From Rfam's summary of the family: The signal recognition particle (SRP) is a universally conserved ribonucleoprotein involved in the co-translational targeting of proteins to membranes. Archaeal SRP consists of a 7S RNA and homologues of the eukaryotic SRP19 and SRP54 proteins. In most bacteria, the SRP consists of a 4.5S RNA and the Ffh protein (a homologue of the eukaryotic SRP54 protein). The record is from RNAcentral. Lineage: Bacteria; Bacillati; Bacillota; Clostridia; Eubacteriales; Oscillospiraceae.